Molecule: small nucleolar RNA, 111 nt
Organism: Medicago truncatula (barrel medic)
Lineage: Eukaryota; Viridiplantae; Streptophyta; Magnoliopsida; Fabales; Fabaceae
Rfam family: Small nucleolar RNA Z107/R87
About the family: Z107 and R87 are members of the C/D class of snoRNA which contain the C (UGAUGA) and D (CUGA) box motifs. Most of the members of the box C/D family function in directing site-specific 2'-O-methylation of substrate RNA
Source: Rfam
GAUCACGAUGAUGACUCCAUAAAAUUCAAGCUCAACAGACCGCAGUGCAGUGCUUUCUUCUCUUUCGAGAGAUUGCUUUGCGUGUCGAUAACCCCGCUGAACUGAGUGAUC